RNAcentral lists this transfer RNA (68 nucleotides) under Rhabdoblatta saussurei. RNAcentral's name for it is "tRNA-Trp". The record is from RNAcentral. Lineage: Eukaryota; Metazoa; Arthropoda; Insecta; Blattodea; Blaberidae.
AAGGUUUUAAGUUAAGUUAAACUAAUAUCCUUCAAAGCUAUCAAUAAAGGAAUUUCUUUUAAGCCUUA